This 159-nucleotide ribosomal RNA is filed under the name Berberis tinctoria. RNAcentral's name for it is "5.8S ribosomal RNA". It matches the Rfam family "5.8S ribosomal RNA". From Rfam's summary of the family: 5.8S ribosomal RNA (5.8S rRNA) is a component of the large subunit of the eukaryotic ribosome. It is transcribed by RNA polymerase I as part of the 45S precursor that also contains 18S and 28S rRNA. The record is from RNAcentral. Lineage: Eukaryota; Viridiplantae; Streptophyta; Magnoliopsida; Ranunculales; Berberidaceae.
ACGACUCUCGGCAAUGGAUAUCUCGGCUCUCGCAUCGAUGAAGAACGUAGCGAAAUGCGAUACUUGGUGUGAAUUGCAGAAUCCCGUGAACCAUCGAGUUUUUGAACGCAAGUUGCGCCCAAAGCCAUUAGGCUGAGGGCACGUCUGCCUGGGCGUCAC